Molecule: ribosomal RNA, 377 nt
Filed under: uncultured bacterium
Lineage: Bacteria
Description: bacterial SSU rRNA
Rfam family: Bacterial small subunit ribosomal RNA
Source: RNAcentral
GACGUAGGGCGCGAGCGUUGUCCGGAUUUAUUGGGCGUAAAGGGCUCGUAGGCGGCCUGUCACGUCUGUCGUGAAAGCUCAGGGCUUAACUCUGAGUUUGCGGUGGAUACGGGCAGGCUUGAGGCAAGUAGGGGAGAACGGAAUUCCAUGUGUAGCGGUGAAAUGCACAGAUAUGUGGAGGAACACCGGUGGCGAAGGCGGUUCUCUGGGCUUGUUCUGACGCUGAGGAGCGAAAGCGUGGGGAGCGAACAGGAUUAGAUACCCUGGUAGUCCACGCUGUAAACGGUGGGCGCUAGGUGUGGGGCGGCAUUUGUUCGUUCCGUGCCGAAGCUAACGCAUUAAGCGCCCCGCCUGGGGAGUACGGCCGCAAGGCUAAA